RNAcentral lists this ribosomal RNA (269 nucleotides) under uncultured prokaryote. Its description in RNAcentral is "partial 16S ribosomal RNA". It matches the Rfam family "Bacterial small subunit ribosomal RNA", at positions 524 to 792 of the family's 1533-position model. The record is from RNAcentral.
GUCGGAGGAGGCUAGCGUUGUUCGGAAUUACUGGGCUUAAAGAGCGUGUAGGCGGAUCGGUAAGUACCGUGUGAAAGCCCCCGGCUCAACCGGGGAACGGCUCGGUAUACUGUCGGUCUUGAGGCAGGUAGGGGCGAGUGGAACCCUAGGUGGAGCGGUGAAAUGCGUAGAGAUCUAGGGGAACGCCGGUGGCGAAAGCGACUCGCUGGACCUGUCCUGACGCUGAGACGCGAAAGCGUAGGGAGCGAACGGGAUUAGAUACCCCCGUA